UACGAAGGGGGCGAGCGUUGUUCGGAUUUACUGGGCGUAAAGGGCGCGCAGGCGGCUCAUUUUGUCAGGCGUGAAAGCCCCGGGCUUAACCUGGGAACUGCGUUUGAUACGGAUGGGCUAGAGUUCGGUAGAGGAGAGUGGAAUUCCCAGUGUAGAGGUGAAAUUCGUAGAUAUUGGGAAGAACACCGGUGGCGAAGGCGGCUCUCUGGACCGAUACUGACGCUGAGGCGCGAAAGCGUGGGGAGCAAACAGG
Molecule: ribosomal RNA, 253 nt
Filed under: uncultured bacterium
Lineage: Bacteria
Description: partial 16S ribosomal RNA
Rfam family: Bacterial small subunit ribosomal RNA
Source: RNAcentral